CUGGCUCAGGAUGAACGCUAGCGGCAGGCUUAACACAUGCAAGUCGAGGGGCAUCGGGAGUAGCAAUACUUGCCGGCGACCGGCGCAAGGGUGCGUAACGCGUGAGCAACAUGCCCGUAUCAGGGGGAUAAUCCAUGGAAACGUGGUCUAAUACCCCAUAGUAAUUAUGUAAGGCAUCUUAUAUAAUUUAAAGCUUUGGUGGAUACGGAUUGGCUCGCGUGACAUUAGCUGGAUGGUAGGGUAACGGCUUACCAUGGCUACGAUGUCUAGGGGUUCUGAGAGGAAGGUCCCCCCACACUGGAACUGAGACACGGUCCAGACUCCUACGGGAGGCAGCAGUGAGGAAUAUUGGACAAUGGAUGGAAAUCUGAUCCAGCCAUGCCGCGUGCAGGAAAGACGGCCCUAUGGGUUGUAAACUGCUUUUGUAUGGGAGCAAUAAGGGCUACGUGUAGUCCGAUGAGAGUACCAUACGAAUAAGCACCGGCUAACUCCGUGCCAGCCGCUGC
This 506-nucleotide ribosomal RNA is filed under the name uncultured bacterium. RNAcentral's name for it is "bacterial SSU rRNA". It matches the Rfam family "Bacterial small subunit ribosomal RNA", at positions 19 to 518 of the family's 1533-position model. The record is from RNAcentral.